This 254-nucleotide ribosomal RNA is filed under the name uncultured bacterium. RNAcentral's name for it is "partial 16S ribosomal RNA". It matches the Rfam family "Bacterial small subunit ribosomal RNA", at positions 524 to 776 of the family's 1533-position model. The record is from RNAcentral.
UACGUAGGGGGCAAGCGUUGUCCGGAGUUACUGGGCGUAAAGGGUGUGUAGGCGGUUGUUUAAGUUUGGUGUGAAAUCUCCCGGCUCAACUGGGAGGGUGCGCCGAAUACUGAAUGACUUGGAGUGCGGGAGAGGAAAGUGGAAUUCCUGGUGUAGCGGUGAAAUGCGUAGAUAUCAGGAGGAACACCGGUGGUGUAGACGGCUUUCUGGACCGUAACUGACGCUGAGACACGAAAGCGUGGGUAGCAAACAGG